AGUCGACGGUAACAGGACUUCGGUCGCUGACGAGUGGCGCACGGGUGAGUAACGCGUGGGUUACCUGCCCAUAAGUGGGGAACAACUUGGAGAAAUCCAAGCUAAUACCGCAUAAUACCUUCGGGUUAAAGAGGGGGAUCUUCGGACCUCUCGCUUAUGGAUGGUCCCGCGUCUGAUUAGCUAGUUGGUAGGGUAAUGGCCUACCAAGGCAAUGAUCAGUAGCUGGUCUGAGAGGAUGAUCAGUCACACUGGAACUGAGACACGGUCCAGACUCCUACGGGAGGCAGCAGUGGGGAAUUUUGCACAAUGGGCGAAAGCCUGAUGCAGCGACGCCGCGUGCGGGAAGAAGGCCUUCGGGUUGUAAACCGCUUUCAACAGGGAAGAAGGAAUGAGAGCUAAUACCUCUCUGCCUUGACGGUACCUGUAGAAGAAGCACCGGCUAAUUUCGUGCCAGCAGCCGCGGUAAUACGAAAGGUGCAAGCGUUGUUCGGAUUUACUGGGCGUAAAGAGAUCGUAGGUGGCUUGUUAAGUCGGAUGUGAAAUCCCGGGGCUCAACCCCGGAACUGCAUCCGAUACUGGCAGGCUUGAGUUUGGGAGGGGUAAGCGGAAUUCCGUGUGUAGCAGUGAAAUGCGUAGAUAUACGGAGGAACACCUGAGGCGAACGCGGCUUACUGGACCAAUACUGACACUGAGGAUCGAAAGCGUGGGUAGCAAACAGGAUUAGAUACCCUGGUAGUCCACGCCCUAAACGAUGUCAACUAGCCGUUGCGGGUAUCGACCCCUGCAGUGGCGCAGCUAACGCGAUAAGUUGACCGCCCUGGGGAGUACGGUCGCAAGAUUAAAACUC
This 847-nucleotide ribosomal RNA is filed under the name uncultured bacterium. Its description in RNAcentral is "bacterial SSU rRNA". It matches the Rfam family "Bacterial small subunit ribosomal RNA", at positions 60 to 902 of the family's 1533-position model. The record is from RNAcentral.